Molecule: long non-coding RNA, 544 nt
Filed under: Populus tremula
Lineage: Eukaryota; Viridiplantae; Streptophyta; Magnoliopsida; Malpighiales; Salicaceae
Description: long non-coding RNA (PTRE_LNC001184)
Source: RNAcentral
GCUUUUGUCUAAAACCAGAACCAAAGUUGCACAGAAAAAUACGAAAGCAAAUAAUCUCUCUUGUCUCUCUGAUUUAUUUCUUACUUUUAUUAUCAAUGGCUGCUCAGGUUAUUGUCUCCAAGACAUUCUUGCUUGUCCUUGUGAUUGCUGCCUUCGCUGUUGCUUCUGCCCAAGAUAGUGAAUCAAUGGCUCCUGCACCUGCACCAGGAAUGGAUGCUGGAGCUGGGUUCUCUUCACCAGUUUCUGGAGCCAUUGUUGGGUUCUCUCUUGUUGUUUCUCUUUUUGGUUUCUUGAAACAUUGAUUAAUCUGUUGUUUCACUUGAUUUUUCAAGCUGGGAGGAGUUUUGGUUGAUUAAAUUAAUAUUUGUCGUGAGAGAGAGAGAGAGAGAGAGAGAGGUGAUGGAAAAUUGUUGUAUAUUGGAUUCAUUCUUUGCUAUUAUUUGUUUACUACAUACAAAAUUAAUGAACUAAUUACUCUGAUUUUUUAUCCUUUUUUUUAUAAUAACUUUAUUUACUACAUACAAAAUUAAUGAAAUAAAUAAAC